RNAcentral lists this ribosomal RNA (465 nucleotides) under uncultured bacterium. Its description in RNAcentral is "partial 16S ribosomal RNA". It matches the Rfam family "Bacterial small subunit ribosomal RNA", at positions 28 to 507 of the family's 1533-position model. The record is from RNAcentral.
GACGAACGCUGGCGGCGUGCUUAACACAUGCAAGUCGAACGGAAAGGCCCUGCUUGCAGGGUACUCGAGUGGCGAACGGGUGAGUAACACGUGGGUGAUCUGCCCUGCACUUCGGGAUAAGCCUGGGAAACUGGGUCUAAUACCGGAUAGGAGCCAUUUUUAGUGUGAUGGUUGGAAAGUUUUUUCGGUGUAGGAUGAGCUCGCGGCCUAUCAGCUUGUUGGUGGGGUAAUGGCCUACCAAGGCGGCGACGGGUAGCCGGCCUGGGGGGGUGGACGGCCAAAGGGGGACGGAGAGAGGGCCCGGCCUCCGAGGGGGGGAGGGAGGGGGGAAUAUUGAAAAAGGGGGACAAGCCGGAGGCGGCGCGGCCGGGGGGGGGAGGGCGGCCUUGGGGUUGAAAGCUCUUUUCGAGGGGGAAAAAGUUUUUUGGGAGGUACCUUGGAAGAAAGCCCCGGACAAGCUAGGUG